Molecule: long non-coding RNA, 908 nt
Filed under: Ovis aries (sheep)
Lineage: Eukaryota; Metazoa; Chordata; Mammalia; Artiodactyla; Bovidae
Description: lncRNA (ENSOARG00000026940.1)
Source: RNAcentral
UGGGGAAAUAAAGGUGCUGCAUCCCGCAGGAGGGGGGUGUUUGGGAGGGGGGCUCCGGGGCCCCGGCAGCUAUGGAGAGGGUCGGAACGCUGUCAGCGGCCUAUGAGUAGGGGCCGGGCCAGAGAAGGACCCCCGGGAGCGGGGGAGGUGGGGAUGUAGCAGGUGUGAAAGUUCACAAGCCGACGCUUGCAUAGAAAGCUGGCAGUUGAGAUGUCCUAGCGAUGCGUACCUGAAACUCGGAGGUUAGAUGAUGGAGUGAAAGUCGCUGAGUCGUCUCCGACUCUGUGCGACCUCAGGGACUGUAGCCCGCCAGGCUCCGCUGUCCAUAGCAUUCUCCAGGCCAGAAUACUGGAGUGGGUAGCCGUUCCCUCCUCCAGGGGGUCUUCCCACCCAAGGAAUCGAACCGAGGUCCCCCACGCUGCAGGCGGAUUUUUUACUGUCUGAGCCACCAGGGAAGCCCCUAGGUGAUGGGAGAGUAUGUUGAAUCCUUAAGGGGCCAAGUGUAGGAACAAGUUAGAUAAGCUCCGAGUGGAAAAGUGGGGAACUGGAUUAGUGGGACUCUGGGGACAUACCUUGGGAGGAAAUUAAGAGCAGCCACAGACGUAUCCAGGUUUGGGAGGCCUUCCAGGGAACUAGUGGGCAUGGAGGUCUAGGAGGUCUGGAGGCCAAAGAGAGGCCUCUGCGGUGGUCCUGGGGGUGGGGUGUGGGGUGUGGGUGUGGGGAGAGGAUGCAUCCUAAAUUGCGGCCGAGGAAGCGACCCGUUAGAGAAAUUCUGGAGGCAAGAAUCCUGGCGAGACUUGGAAGAAGCCUUGAAGAUGUAAAGGACAAAAUAGGCUUGGGAUUUGAUUGGCUGUCGAGGAGUGAGGGAGGCGGGAAGCAGGAGGAAGCUGCCGCUCCGGAUGCUGCUG